Schizosaccharomyces pombe (fission yeast) is the source of this 885-nucleotide non-coding RNA. Lineage: Eukaryota; Fungi; Ascomycota; Schizosaccharomycetes; Schizosaccharomycetales; Schizosaccharomycetaceae. The record is from the annotation of a GenBank genome assembly.
AUAGUCUCAGUACGCAAUCCUUCGUCUUUAACGUAAAUAGAUAUCUGUUUCCAGGAAGUAGCCAAUAUAUGACCCUGCUGACUCCAACAAACUUCAUAUGCUGGUCCGCUUAGUACUUGAAACGCUUUAUCCCACUUCUCACUAUGGUAUAGAAAUGUUCCUGCCUCAGUUGCUACUGCCAAACAGCUUCCAUCAUAGGUGAACCGGAUGCAUGAGAUUGGAGAAUCAAAUGAUAAAUGAGUGGUUUUAUGACCAUUAAGGGAUUGGAUGAUACGUUUUUCAGAGGAUUUUGGAUAGAAAAAAUCUUUUGAUAAUAUAUAGACGUUUGUUUCAGCCGAUACUGCAACGAAGUCUUUUGAGGAAGAGAUAGAUGAAAAUUGAUGGUUUUCUAAUAACUUAGGCACAAAAAUGUGCAUCGUUGUGGGGUGAGGGAACUUUUGUUUACUAACUUUUAUUUUUCAUUCUCCCAAUUCAUGAAUAACGUUCACUAUCGGGUUCGGCUAUGGCGUUGAAGUGCGUUGAAUACAGUCUCGUCUGGGAGACUUAAGAUUUAGCAACCAAAUUAAGCACGCAUUUCCUAAGCAAAUGUAAUUAAAUGAAAAGCGUGGAUCAACUUUCGUACAAUUACAAUAUGAAUUUCAUUAAAUAACGUAUUCUAAUUUGAUUUUAUUUACGCUGUUUAUAUAAGAUUACUUUCGCUACAAAAAUAAUAGAAUAAGAAGAAAAUUCACAAUAAUUGCGGUGAUAACUCGAUAAUGAGGUUUCCCGAAAAAACUUUAGUUAAAAACCUAAAUCUAGACACAACUAGUGGGUUUAAGGUUAUUCUGAAAACACGUAAACUGCAUGGGAAUAUAACAUACUUUACAAAUUUAAUUCGGAAUUAUA